RNAcentral lists this unclassified non-coding RNA (321 nucleotides) under Hevea brasiliensis (rubber tree). The record is from RNAcentral. Lineage: Eukaryota; Viridiplantae; Streptophyta; Magnoliopsida; Malpighiales; Euphorbiaceae.
AAUGCUAAAACACAAUUUAAUAGGUAUAAUGAUAAUUUUUAUCCUAAGAAGUAGUUCUAAAUUGAAAUAAACAGGUAGGCUGUUAGUUAACUUCUAAUGGUACCCCAAGACGAGGAAAGAAGAAAAAAGGCAACAUAGAACAGUCAGAGAAGGUUGAAAAGACAAGUCACCUCAACGCUAUAUUGACAUCAUAAGAGAAGUACUACCAGGAGUGGAACAAAGUCAAAGCUGUCUUCAUGAUCUGGAUCCAUAGUCUGAAUGAACUAUGAAGAGCUUCCAUUCAGGAUAAUUUCCAGCUACAAUAGUGUCAUAGAGGUCCUG